CAAUAGCGUCUAUUAAAGUUGUUGCAGUUAAAAAGCUCGUAGUUGGAUUUGUGGCGUACGGUGGGUUCCGGGCACUUGUUGUCUGAGUAACUUGCUGUUGCCAUCCUUGGGUGGAACCUGUGUGGCAUUAGGUUGUCGUGCAGGGGAUGCCCAUCAUUUACUGUGAAAAAAUUAGAGUGUUCAAAGCAGGCUUAUGCCGUUGAAUAUAUUAGCAUGGAAUAAUGAGAUAGGACUUUUUUGCUAUUUUGUUGGUUUGCGCAAAGAGGUAAUGAUUAAUAGGGACAGUUGGGGGUAUUCGUAUUCCAUUGUCAGAGGUGAAAUUCUUGGAUUUUUGGAAGACGAACUACUGCGAAAGCAUUUACCAAGGAUGUUUUCAUUAA
This 380-nucleotide ribosomal RNA is filed under the name uncultured eukaryote. Its description in RNAcentral is "partial 18S ribosomal RNA". It matches the Rfam family "Eukaryotic small subunit ribosomal RNA", at positions 592 to 976 of the family's 1831-position model. The record is from RNAcentral.